CUUAUCCUGACAUAUAUCAGAGUUCUUCAAGUUCCACAUGACAGUCAUUAAACAUCAGAUUUCCAUCAUCACCUUUGCAUCUUUUGAUUCUUUCAUUUGUCCAGCCACAGUCAGUAAGCUGGUAAACACAGACGUCACUAACAGCUAGCAGUAAUGCUAACUGUUUCAAAGUCCU
Thalassophryne amazonica is the source of this 175-nucleotide long non-coding RNA. RefSeq lists it as uncharacterized. NCBI's taxonomy places the organism in Eukaryota, Metazoa, Chordata, Actinopteri, Batrachoidiformes, Batrachoididae. The transcript has 3 exons. The record is from RefSeq and is a predicted model, not a curated record.